GAUAAACGCUGGCGGCGUGCAUAACACAUGCAAGUCGAACGAUGAAGAUUAAAAGAUUUCCUCGGAAUGAACUCAACUGGAUUAGUGGCGGACGGGUGAGUAACGCGUGAGUAACCUGCCUUGUACAAGGGGAUAGCCGUCGGAAACGACGAAUAAUACUCUAUGACAUCAAAUAAUCGCAUGAUAAUUUGAUCAAAGAUUUAUCGGUAUAAGAUGGACUCGCGUCUGAUUAGCUAGUUGGUAGAGUAAACGCCUACCAAGGCAACGAUCAGUAGCCGGCUUGAAAGAGUGUCCGGCAACAUUGCGAGUGGGACAAGGCCCAGACCCCUGCGAGAGGAAGCAAUGGGGACUGAUGCACAAUGGGGGAGACCCUGAUGCUGCGAGGCCGCAAGAUUGUGAAGGCCUUCGGGUUGUAAAAGUCUUUUGUAUGGGAAGAAAAUGACGGUACCAUACGAAUAAGGGCCGGCUAAUUACGUG
Molecule: ribosomal RNA, 477 nt
Filed under: uncultured bacterium
Lineage: Bacteria
Description: partial 16S ribosomal RNA
Rfam family: Bacterial small subunit ribosomal RNA
Source: RNAcentral